RNAcentral lists this ribosomal RNA (427 nucleotides) under uncultured bacterium. RNAcentral's name for it is "bacterial SSU rRNA". It matches the Rfam family "Bacterial small subunit ribosomal RNA", at positions 917 to 1344 of the family's 1533-position model. The record is from RNAcentral.
GGGCCCGCACAAGCGGUGGAGCAUGUGGUUUAAUUCGAUGCAACGCGAAGAACCUUACCUGGUCUUGACAUACACAGAAUCUUGUAGAGAUACGAGAGUGCCUUCGGGAAUUGUGAUACAGGUGCUGCAUGGCUGUCGUCAGCUCGUGUCGUGAGAUGUUGGGUUAAGUCCCGUAACGAGCGCAACCCUUAUCCUUAGUUGCCAGCGAUUUGGUCGGGGACUCUAAGGAGACUGCCGGUGUUAAACCGGAGGAAGGCGGGGACGACGUCAAGUCAUCAUGGCCCUUACGGGUAGGGCUACACACGUGCUACAAUGGACGGUACAGAGGGUUGCGAAGCUGUGAAGUGGAGCCAAUCCCAAAAAGCCGUUCGUAGUCCGGAUUGGAGUCUGCAACUCGACUCCAUGAAGUCGGAAUCGCUAGUAAUCG